Molecule: long non-coding RNA, 2858 nt
Organism: Tachysurus fulvidraco (yellow catfish)
Lineage: Eukaryota; Metazoa; Chordata; Actinopteri; Siluriformes; Bagridae
Exons: 3
Source: RefSeq, a predicted model, not a curated record
AGAGAACUGCCGAUGGAGUGAGAGUUUGUUUUGUUUUUGCUCCAGCGAGUUAAUUCGGAUAUAGACAAUAUACCCACUAGCAAAGUGCGUUAAACGGUCUGUAUUUCGUUAAAGAAGUGUUAAUACUUGUAUUAAGUGGAUUAGUGUUUAUACUCGGUAAGAGAGUAAACGGUUAUGUUUUGUUUCGGAGUCUGAGGUAGAGCGCAGCCUGUCGCUAAGCUAACUAUCGGGACUAAGCUAAAAAAAAAAAGGAUUCUAUCUGACGGGGUUUCCAACCGGCUAACCGCCUAAGUGUUUAGUUAUUUAAAUUUCGGGACGGAGACAAGUUCAUGGAGCCGUUGUGACUGUAUAUCGGACGCGGAUUGGAUGUUGCUAUGCUAUGGUGAUACAGUAUCGUGUGGCUGCUGUUCAGGAGAGGAGGCCAUGAGACUACCUGAAUAUCUACGGCUGCAUCUAAGGGAAGUUCGCGUUUUAAGCACCUUGGAAGGCAAUCAGGUGAUCUAUUUAUUUUCUUUUAGCUCGUCAGAGCGAAGAGGCCAUUUGUAGUUUUAAAGGCCACCACGUUCCCCAGCAACGUUACAGGCCUGCAACAGGUGGGCCUGGAUGAGGCAGUUCGUAGUUGGGAAAAGCACAGAAGCAUUAACUCCUGGCUCUAAGGGAUCUAAGUUCAUAUGACGGCCAAUGCGUAAGCUCAGGUGUCCUCAGUGAAAUUGUCCUACAGCUGCUUGUUCCCGGAGGUCAGGAAAGUGUUCUGUUCUGCUGAUGGAGACAACCUGCACUUCAGCUGGACUUGUGAAUCAAACACUCGGUUGGAGGACGACAACAAAACCCUCGUACUGGAUAAAAUGCAUAUUAAAAAAGUCCCCUGUAAUGUCGAAUAUCACGUCAGUCAUGCCUACAAUUCAACUGAACUGCCAAAAUGUACCAGUGAGUCUGUCUUUUUUAAAUAACAUUAGAAAAUAUUUCUUUUGUUUCUAUACUUCUGUAAAGCUGCCUUGAGACAAUGUCCAUCAUUGAAGUGCUUGUAAAAUGAAUUGAAAAUAAUGAAUUACACUAUAUAAUGAAUAACACUGCUAUCCAGUGGCUUUUACCUAGUGACAACAUCGCCUUUAUAUUUUAAGCCCACUGUAAUGCUGUAAUUCUACAGUGGCAACAAUUUAAUAAAAUAUUAAAUAAGUCCUAUGUACUGAAUGUGUAAAUGCUGAAAUAAAAUCUGUUUUAGUUAUUAUUAAUGAUUUUAGUAUUUUUUUUAAUGUAACUCACCUACACACUCAUUUGUUCUAAACUGUUGUAUUGUCUGUAUAUACUGUAGCAUACAGUUAAGGAGGAACAGUGACGGGAAGAAUGUCAUCAAGAAGGGCAACCAUUGACAACAAACAUAUGCCCUUUAAAAUGUCUAAACUGUCUAGGGUGUGUGUGUGUGUGUGUGUGUGUGUGUGUGUGUGUGUGUGCCCUGCCAUGGGUUAUUACCUCAUCCAGACUGUCCACCAUCUUGAGUCCCCUGGGAAAGGCUCCUGCUCAAGAGUCCAGGGUUUACUAAUCUACCCCGGUUACUGCAAUAUGUUAUUUGCAAAGCAUCUUAACCCUAAAAAGAGCUCAUAAGGAUCAAAAAGUCUUAGGAGUAAUGAGGAGGACUUUUAAGAGGCUUAAGAGUUUCUUCAGCAGAAGGGAAAAUGGCCAAAAGGUGAAGGAGAAGACAUGUACAAUAUUUAAUACUGAUAGAUGCUACAGAUUAGAUCAUGUAGGGAUUAUUUUUGUGAAAAAUAAUAAUAGAGAUAACAUCUAUAGUAUAUUCUAUAGUCCCUACAUGAUAUAGCCUCAAAUAUCUUAACAUAGAGACAAAGUGAAGCUUAUAUUAGACCAUAAUGUCAUAUGUGUCAUAAAACACCACCUCUCUAAGAUAUACGUUUGUAUUUUCCUUGCUCAGAAUUGCUUUGAGAUUGGUCGUGAAUCACUCUUAAGAUACGAUUCCUAGUUAGAUUUUUUAAACUAAAUUAGAUAUCAUUCGUAGAAUAUGUAAUAUGUAGAACAUAGAAUAUGUAUGCAAUCAAUGGUCAUUGGUUGCACUUCUUGAUGGUGUACACGGCAUCAGUGACCAGCUACAUGUGCAUUGUGCAAGGCAAGUGCAUUGAUGAUGUGACCGUCUCCCAGACCAUCACCACACGCUCCAACCGGAAGCCACGAAUGACUGCUAAAGUGUGUGAGCUGCUGAAGCCUAGAGACCUAGCCAAGGGCCAAACUGUCCCGAGCCAUCAUAGAAUCAAAGCACACACAAGCCUAGACAAUCCACAGCCACUUCCAGGACAGCGGAGAAACCCGGCGCAGUACAGGUGAACUACAAGACAGCUUCACCUGCCUGUGAUAGUGAUACCUCCCUCCCAGAUGCACUGAAUGACUUCUAAAAUCAGUUGCGGAACAAUGUAGCGGGAAGGAAGACCAUGCUUUGAGAAGUGCUUUAAGGAGGUCAUCAUGAGGCACAUCAAGACCCAGUUACCACCCUCACUGGACCCCCUACAGUUUGCAUAUCGUCCAAACUGCUCUAUGGACGACGCCAUUGCCUCAGCCUUUCAUGUAGCCCUCACCCACCUGGACAAUAUAGACACUUACGUACAAAUUCUGUUCAUAGACUUUAGUUCAGCAUUCAACACAAUCAUCCCUCAGCACCUAAUUGAGAAGAUGAGCGUGCUGGGAAUGAACACCUUCCUCUGCAACUGGAUCCCGGACUUCCUAACUGGGAGACCUCUGUCAGGAACAGCAUCUCCAGCACCACCACACUGAGUACUGGAGCCCCUUAGGACUGCAUGCUCAGUCCACUGCUGUUCACCUUGCUGACUCACAACUGUGCAGCAAUGCCCAGA